Molecule: ribosomal RNA, 497 nt
Filed under: uncultured bacterium
Lineage: Bacteria
Description: partial 16S ribosomal RNA
Rfam family: Bacterial small subunit ribosomal RNA
Source: RNAcentral
GAUGAACGCUGGCGGCGUGCCUAAUACAUGCAAGUCGAGCGAACGGACGAGAAGCUUGCUUCUCUGAUGUUAGCGGCGGACGGGUGAGUAACACGUGGAUAACCUACCUAUAAGACUGGGAUAACUUCGGGAAACCGGAGCUAAUACCGGAUGAUAUUUUGAACCGCAUGGUUCAAAAGUGUAAGACGGUCUUGCUGUCACUUAUAGAUGGAUCCGCGCUGCAUUAGCUAGUUGGUAAGGUAACGGCUUACCAAGGCAACGAUGCAUAGCCGACCUGAGAGGGUGAUCGGCCACACUGGAACUGAGACACGGUCCAGACUCCUACGGGAGGCAGCAGUAGGGAAUCUUCCGCAAUGGGCGAAAGCCUGACGGAGCAACGCCGCGUGAGUGAUGAAGGUCUUCGGAUCGUAAAACUCUGUUAUUAGGGAAGAACAUAUGUGUAAGUAACUGUGCACAUCUUGACGGUACCUAAUCAGAAAGCCACGGCUAACUACGUG